Molecule: ribosomal RNA, 253 nt
Filed under: uncultured bacterium
Lineage: Bacteria
Description: partial 16S ribosomal RNA
Rfam family: Bacterial small subunit ribosomal RNA
Source: RNAcentral
UACGUAGGGUGCAAGCGUUGUCCGGAAUUAUUGGGCGUAAAGAGCUCGUAGGCGGUUCGUCGCGUCGGCUGUGAAAUCCCGAGGCUCAACCUCGGGUCUGCAGUCGAUACGGGCGGACUGGAGUACUGCAGGGGAGACUGGAAUUCCUGGUGUAGCGGUGAAAUGCGCAGAUAUCAGGAGGAACACCGGUGGCGAAGGCGGGUCUCUGGGCAGUUACUGACGCUGAGGAGCGAAAGCGUGGGGAGCGAAUGGG